GGAUGUGAGAGCGAUCUGGCUGCGACAUCUGUCACCCCAUUGAUCGGCAGGGUUGAUUGCGGCUGAUCUGGCUGGCUAGGCGGGUGUCCCCUUCUUCCUCACCGCUCCAUGUGCGUCCUCCUGAAGCUGCGAGCUCCGGUGGAAGAGGACGGCCUUUCCCCGAAUAGAGACGGACUGGUCUUCGGGUCGAGGGUAUACGAGGUAGCUGCGCACCCCUGCUAGAACCUCCAAACAAGCUCUCAAGAAUAUAGCAUCUGGGAGUCGGGCGGUAGGGCAGUGGGUUAAGCACAC
This 291-nucleotide small nuclear RNA is filed under the name Erinaceus europaeus (western European hedgehog). Its description in RNAcentral is "7SK RNA (ENSEEUG00000016985.1)". It matches the Rfam family "7SK RNA", at positions 1 to 277 of the family's 331-position model. Rfam says of the family: 7SK was discovered as an abundant small nuclear RNA in the mid-70s but a possible function has only recently been suggested. Two independent studies have found that 7SK RNA binds the CDK9/cyclin T complex (known as elongation factor P-TEFb). Lineage: Eukaryota; Metazoa; Chordata; Mammalia; Eulipotyphla; Erinaceidae. The record is from RNAcentral.